Mandrillus leucophaeus (drill) is the source of this 372-nucleotide long non-coding RNA. RefSeq lists it as uncharacterized. The record is from RefSeq and is a predicted model, not a curated record. The transcript has 2 exons. Lineage: Eukaryota; Metazoa; Chordata; Mammalia; Primates; Cercopithecidae.
AUUCACCCUCAUGGCUUAAAUCAUGGAUGGCGCUGGUUGGCACAGAUCUUAAACAUGGAGCCCUUGUCAGAUGUGACAGCCACCCUCCUCUUUGACUUCUUGGAGGUGUGUGGGAAUGCCCUCAUGAAGCAAUACCAGGUUCAGUUCUGGAAGAUGCUAAUUCUUAUCAAAGAGGACUACUUUCCCAGGUAUCAGGCUUGUUGAGCAGACAACAGGGGAUUAAGUAAGUAAAACUCAUAACCAGGCCUCAGAUACCCAAGGGUGCUAUUACCUGCUGGUUUUGAUUCAAGUUAAAAACACCUGUACUAAGUAUGACAUCUUCCUACUCCAGUCCCUCUCAUUGAUAUUUGAAUAAAUGCUUUUGAAACUUAA